UACGGAGGGUGCAAGCGUUAUCCGGAUUCACUGGGUUUAAAGGGUGCGUAGGUGGGCAGGUAAGUCAGUGGUGAAAUCUCUAAGCUUAACUUAGAAACUGCCGUUGAUACUAUCUGUCUUGAAUAUAGUGGAGGUGAGCGGAAUAUGUCAUGUAGCGGUGAAAUGCUUAGAUAUGACAUAGAACACCGAUUGCGAAGGCAGCUUGCUACACUAUUAUUGACACUGAGGCACGAAAGCGUGGGGAUCAAACAGG
This 253-nucleotide ribosomal RNA is filed under the name uncultured bacterium. Its description in RNAcentral is "partial 16S ribosomal RNA". It matches the Rfam family "Bacterial small subunit ribosomal RNA", at positions 524 to 776 of the family's 1533-position model. The record is from RNAcentral.